CCUACGGGAGGCAGCAGUGGGGAAUUUUGGACAAUGGGCGAAAGCCUGAUCCAGCAAUGCCGCGUGAGUGAAGAAGGCCUUCGGGUUGUAAAGCUCUUUUGUCAGGGAAGAAACGGUGAGAGCUAAUAUCUCUUGCUAAUGACGGUACCUGAAGAAUAAGCACCGGCUAACUACGUGCCAGCAGCCGCGGUAAUACGUAGGGUGCAAGCGUUAAUCGGAAUUACUGGGCGUAAAGCGUGCGCAGGCGGUUUUGUAAGUCUGAUGUGAAAUCCCCGGGCUCAACCUGGGAAUUGCAUUGGAGACUGCAAGGCUAGAAUCUGGCAGAGGGGGGUAGAAUUCCACGUGUAGCAGUGAAAUGCGUAGAUAUGUGGAGGAACACCGAUGGCGAAGGCAGCCCCCUGGGUCAAGAUUGACGCUCAUGCACGAAAGCGUGGGGAGCAAACAGGAUUAGAUACCCUGGUAGUCCACGCCCUAAACGAUGUCUACUAGUUGUCGGGUCUUAAUUGACUUGGUAACGCAGCUAACGCGUGAAGUAGCCGCCUGGGGAGUACGGUGCAAGNUUAAACGUUAAUGAGUAGAGNGNGAGAGNGCGAGGACGACGACGAGGGAGGAGG
Molecule: ribosomal RNA, 614 nt
Filed under: uncultured bacterium
Lineage: Bacteria
Description: bacterial SSU rRNA
Rfam family: Bacterial small subunit ribosomal RNA
Source: RNAcentral